Sapajus apella (tufted capuchin) is the source of this 129-nucleotide long non-coding RNA. RefSeq lists it as uncharacterized. Lineage: Eukaryota; Metazoa; Chordata; Mammalia; Primates; Cebidae. The record is from RefSeq and is a predicted model, not a curated record. The transcript has 2 exons.
CCUUCUUCCAGGACCCCCGCUCCAGAUUGGGGAACUUCUGGGUGGGGCAGAGUAUCUGCAAGGGAGAACACAUUUUUGCUCUCUGAAAGACUCAAUUAGGAAGAGGGAAAGAUAAGCUACAGAUUGGGA